Molecule: ribosomal RNA, 261 nt
Filed under: uncultured bacterium
Lineage: Bacteria
Description: partial 16S ribosomal RNA
Rfam family: Bacterial small subunit ribosomal RNA
Source: RNAcentral
GUCCACGCCGUAAACGUUGGGCACUAGGUGUGGGACCCUUCCAACGGGUUCUGUGCCGCAGCUAACGCAUUAAGUGCCCCGCCUGGGGAGUACGGCCGCAAGGCUAAAACUCAAAGGAAUUGACGGGGGCCCGCACAAGCGGCGGAGCAUGUUGCUUAAUUCGAGGCAACGCGAAGAACCUUACCUGGGCUUGACAUGCAGGGAAAAGCCGUAGAGAUACGGUGUCCUUCGGGCCUUGCACAGGUGGUGCAUGGCUGUCGU